This 572-nucleotide long non-coding RNA is filed under the name Equus caballus (horse). Its description in RNAcentral is "lncRNA (ENSECAG00000051745.1)". Lineage: Eukaryota; Metazoa; Chordata; Mammalia; Perissodactyla; Equidae. The record is from RNAcentral.
CCCAGGUGUGGCAGUACACAAUUAUUUCAGGAGUUGGAAGGUGGGGCGGACUCCCUAUGUGGCAUGGCUGUUUGAGAUGACCAGUGGCACAAGUCUGCUGUAGCCAACAAGCCCCAUUGCCCAUGGGCCCAUAAACUCUACCAAUACAGUUCUGCCCUGUGUGCAUGCCCUUCCCCACCGAAGCACACCCACCCGCCCCACUGCUGAGAUCCAACACGGUCCACCUAGCAGGCCCAGAAGUUGCCUGUGGACUUGCUGUCCAUCACCUGCUGGCAGGACACCAAGGGGAAAAAAAAAGUGAUAUGAUUAGGAAGGAUACCAUCAACUCAGGCAAAGACACCAGAGAUUAUCGAGUCACAAAAUCUCCCUUGGUUCAGCCUUCAGGUGGAGAUUUUCCUUUGCUGAACUUGCAGGGCUCAUGUCCAUGAGAGAAAGACCCACAAGAGGAACACUGAGGUUUACUCCUCUCACUCACUUAAUGGCGGUCCCUUCUGCAUGUUGUGCAGAUGCAUUGUUUCAUCAUGGCCGUGCUUAUGGGCAAGAGAUGCAAGGAGAGAGAACUGAUGAUUAAC